AUUGCAUUACUGCUCGCUGCCCCUUUAACUCAGCAACUUGAGGUUCUGAAGUUUUGUUACAGUGGAGCAAUGGGUCCGGACAAGUGGGGCAGCUUGAGUCCACAAUUCAGCGCAUGAUCCAACGGAAAGCUUCAGUCCCCUGUGAACAUUGUGAUGAAGGACGCUGUCUACAAUCCCAAG
Long non-coding RNA from Telopea speciosissima, 180 nucleotides. RefSeq lists it as uncharacterized. The record is from RefSeq and is a predicted model, not a curated record. NCBI's taxonomy places the organism in Eukaryota, Viridiplantae, Streptophyta, Magnoliopsida, Proteales, Proteaceae. The transcript is spliced from 2 exons.